GCUCAGUUGGCCGAGUGGAUUAGGCAACGCAUUCAGGGUGCGUGGGAAACCCAACACAGGUUCGAAUCCUGUACUGAGCACCA
Molecule: transfer RNA, 83 nt
Filed under: Tupanvirus deep ocean
Lineage: Varidnaviria; Bamfordvirae; Nucleocytoviricota; Megaviricetes; Imitervirales; Mimiviridae
Also listed under: 1 other name
Description: tRNA-Leu
Rfam family: tRNA
About the family: Transfer RNA (tRNA) molecules are approximately 80 nucleotides in length. Their secondary structure includes four short double-helical elements and three loops (D, anti-codon, and T loops).
Source: RNAcentral